RNAcentral lists this ribosomal RNA (484 nucleotides) under uncultured bacterium. Its description in RNAcentral is "partial 16S ribosomal RNA". It matches the Rfam family "Bacterial small subunit ribosomal RNA", at positions 28 to 523 of the family's 1533-position model. The record is from RNAcentral.
GAUGAACGCUGGCGGCGUGCCUAACACAUGCAAGUCGAACGGAGUUUAUGAAGUUUUCGGAUGGAUUAAACUUAGUGGCGGACGGGUGAGUAACGCGUGGGUAACCUGCCUCAUACAGGGGGAUAACAGUUGGAAACGACUGCUAAAACCGCAUAACAUUGCGACACCGCAUGGUGAUGCAAUUAAAUAUUUAUAGGUAUGAGAUGGGCCCGCGUCUGAUUAGCUAGUUGGUGAGGUAAUGGCUCACCAAGUCGACGAUCAGUGGCCGGCUUGAGGGAGUGACCGGCCACAUUGGGACUGAGACACGGCCCAAACUCCUACGGGAGGCAGCAGUGGGGAAUAUUGCACAAUGGGGGAAACCCUGAUGCAGCGACGCCGCGUGAGUGAAGAAGUAUUUCGGUAUGUAAAGCUCUAUCAGCAGGGAAGAAAAUGACGGUACCUGACUAAGAAGCCCCGGCUAACUACGUGCCAGCCGCCGCCGUAA